This 334-nucleotide ribosomal RNA is filed under the name uncultured bacterium. RNAcentral describes it as "bacterial SSU rRNA". It matches the Rfam family "Bacterial small subunit ribosomal RNA", at positions 568 to 898 of the family's 1533-position model. The record is from RNAcentral.
CGUGUAGGCGGUUUGUCAAGUCGGGUGUGAAAGCCUGGGGCUCAGCCCCAGAAGUGCAUCCGAAACUAGCGAGCUAGAGCGCGAUAGAGGAGGGUGGAAUUCCUGGUGUAGCGGUGAAAUGCGUAGAUAUCAGGAGGAACACCGGCGGCGAAGGCGGCCCUCUGGAUCGUUGCUGACGCUGAGACGCGAAAGCGUGGGGAGCAAACAGGAUUAGAUACCCUGGUAGUCCACGCCUUAAACGAUGGGUACUAGGUGUUCGGGGUGUUGACCCCCUGAGUGCCGCAGUUAACGCAGUUAAGUACCCCGCCUGGGGACUACGGCCGCAAAGGUUAAA